This 926-nucleotide long non-coding RNA is filed under the name Malus domestica (apple). RNAcentral's name for it is "long non-coding RNA (MDOM_LNC012471)". Lineage: Eukaryota; Viridiplantae; Streptophyta; Magnoliopsida; Rosales; Rosaceae. The record is from RNAcentral.
UAGUUAUUGGUAAGGAAUUGGUCAUGAGAGGUGGUUUCAUUAAUUUUAGGGAGAAUACUUGCUACACAGGGAUUUCUACAAACUGUAAGUAUAAUAACUUGUACUCCCAUGCAUAUACUCAUCGAAAUGACGAGUACAACAUCGAAAGGAAAUAUGGGAAUAGUGUUGGUUGGAAUGUCCUAAGGCCGGGAAAAGGGAUUUGCUAAUAACCUACCUUAGAAUGGACUUAAACGGAAAUUGAUCUUCCUCUUGAAGAUCUAGAAUGAUAACUAGCAUGUUUAAGAAGAUUGGUGCUAUCGGGGACCAAAAGUGAUUGUCCCCUCAGAUGUUCUUCCACCGAGUGCUACCACUAUAGCACCACAUUGCCACUCGAAACAUUUUAAAAUUUUUUACGAUAAGUAAAACUUCCUAGGGAUUUUAAUAGAUGGUAAACUAACGGAUACUGCCAAGGAAUCAAAACUAUUCUUGGUUUCCUAACUCGAAAAGGUUGGUGAUGAUAACGAGAUAAAGGUAAUGGAAUUUAUUGGUAAAUCCCAACUUCGGGGCCAUCAACUUGUCUCAAUUCAGGGUUUUCCUUGCAUGGAUGUUCUCCGUUUAAAGUCUAAAGGUGUUCGCCAAAAUAAUCUUCUAAAAUGUCGAUAAGUUGCCUAAACCCCUUAAAACUUAGGAAAAGUUAACACAUUUUUCGUGCUCAACGAGAUGGCAACAUUCGACAAUCGAGAAUGCUUACAUCACAUGUGUGAUGAACGCAAUACUGCCUAAAUUGAUGCUCUGAUACCAAACCGACACACCCGACCCAGAAUGUCCACCUAGACUCCAAAUCGAGUUGUGUUGGCCGACACCAGGAAGGUGACAAAGUCAUAAAGUGUAGUGAUGUGGAAAAUGUGAAUAAAUUUAAACCUAAAAGUGCCUAAAUAUAAGAGUGC